GGCCUACCAUGGUUUUAACGGGUAACGGGGAAUUAGGGUUCGAUUCCGGAGAGGGAGCCUGAGAAACGGCUACCACAUCCAAGGAAGGCAGCAGGCGCGCAAAUUACCCAAUCCCGACACGGGGAGGUAGUGACAAUAAAUAACAAUACGGGGCUCAUUUGGGUCUCGUAAUUGGAAUGAGUACAAUUUAAAUCUCUUAACGAGGAACAAUUGGAGGGCAAGUCUGGUGCCAGCAGCCGCGGUAAUUCCAGCUCCAAUAGCGUAUAUUAAAGUUGUUGCAGUUAAAAAGCUCGUAGUUGAACUUCGGGGUCUACCCAUUGGUCAGGCUUAAUUGUCUGCACUGGUGAGAUGGAUCUCUACCUUCUGAGGAACUUUCAUGCCAUUUAUUUGGUGUGGUUGGAAAUCAGGACUGUUACUUUGAAAAAAUUAGAGUGUUUAAAGCAGACUAUCGUCUGAAUACAUUAGCAUGGAAUAAUGAAAUAGGACGGACUGAUCCUAUUUCGUUGGUUUCUAGGAUCACCGUAAUGAUUAAUAGGGAUAGUUGGGGGCAUUAGUAUUCAAUUGUCAGAGGUGAAAUUCUUGGAUUUAUUGAAGACUGACUACUGCGAAAGCAUUUGCCAAGGAUGUUUUCAUUAAUCAAGAACGAAAGUUAGGGGAUCGAAGACGAUCAGAUACCGUCGUAGUCUUAACCAUAAACUAUGCCGACUAGGGAUCGGACGAAGUUAAUUUUAUAAUGACGCGUUCGGCACCUUAC
RNAcentral lists this ribosomal RNA (754 nucleotides) under uncultured Glomeromycotina. RNAcentral's name for it is "SSU rRNA". It matches the Rfam family "Eukaryotic small subunit ribosomal RNA", at positions 338 to 1091 of the family's 1831-position model. Lineage: Eukaryota; Fungi; Glomeromycota. The record is from RNAcentral.